RNAcentral lists this unclassified non-coding RNA (1854 nucleotides) under Homalodisca vitripennis (glassy-winged sharpshooter). RNAcentral describes it as "protein brambleberry-like, transcript variant X2". Lineage: Eukaryota; Metazoa; Arthropoda; Insecta; Hemiptera; Cicadellidae. The record is from RNAcentral.
CACGCUCACAUGCUGUUGUUUCACUGUUUCAGUAUUGUUAUUGUUUGUUGUGCGUUAGUUAGGUUAAGUAGUGAUUAUUUCAUUAUUGUUUUAUUUUGAUGUGUCCGUGCUUUUUCUUAAUUUAUAACUGUUUGCUUAUAUAAAAAGAAAUAUAUUGUAUGUUUUAGAAUCCCCUUCCUUGAAUUCUAAUAUUUUGCAUUUUACAUUAGCCUAUUUGUUAUAUUUUUUUCUUUAUAGCCAAGUUGGAGAUUAUGUUUCUUACAAAAAAUGUAUUUCCAAGUAUGUUUCUUUUCAUUGUUUUAUUAUUUUCACAUGCAUCACUUGCAUCAUCUCUUCUUGGCUGGUUAGAUUGGACUACUAUUAGUACAAAUCUUGGUUCAUCAGAUGAAGUCAAGAGAGACCAAGAAAAUGACUUAAGUAAUGUUCCUGAAGACAUAACUCUCAUAUCUGUCCCUUUUGAAGAAAUGAGUGCUGAAGAUAAAUUUCUUUUAGAAGCAGAAAGAUUUAGCAGAGUUUCACUCUCUGGUUUAGACACUUGUGAACACAGAGUUGUUUUAAAAAUUCAAUCUUCCUGUACUGACAUGACUGAAGAGGAACUAGCUAAGCUAAGCAUCUACUUGUUGAACUGUCAGUUGGAAGUGAGUGGAAGAUCUCAAGUAACAUGCACAGAUGACAUGAGUCUGAAGGAGUGCACGUCCCCAAUGGAUGAUGAGACGUGGAAUGCCUAUCACACAAUCAACAACAGGGCUCGGGCUGUUUGCUAUGCCACUCGUCAACAGCAGUUUCGUAUCCUCUCUGAAAUGACUGUCAACAAACUUAUGUCAUCAGCUCUUAAACAAGUUACCAGUAUGGAGAGCUUAAAGGAACUACAGAAGGAAUUGAAUCUUCUCACUUCAGAGACAAUGUCAUCAUUAACAGAAGGGCAGAAAGGAUUGGCUAAUCAGAACAGUGGAAUGCAGCUAGCCCAGAGGAAGAUAAUGGAUGACAUAUCUAGCACCAUGAGACAGCUGACUAAGGAAAAGACACUCAUCCAGAACACACAGAGCCAAUUGGACUCUUUGUCCAGGAAACUAUCAUAUCAGUUCGAUGAAGCAGAGUCACGUCUUGGCACUCAGAGUGAACUUCACCAAGAGACACAUAAACAGAUUCUCUCUCAUCUAGAAGACAUUACUCAGAAGGCAGAUAUUUUAUGGAAACUGUUAGAACAUAAGAGUGAAAAGGUGAUAAAACAGCAAGAUGAGAUCCAAAAAAGAAUGCAAGAAGCACUAGACAGCUUAAUCCAAAUAAAUUGUAGUGUUAACUACUUGAAAGGUCUUGUAGACCAAGUGAAGGCAGAUGUUGAUAGCAAGAUUUUAUGGGCUACUACUGCUAUAGGAGGAGACAAGACCACACUGGUGUUGGUUCUACAGCAUUGUUUGCUGUUGGUUGCUGGUGUCCUGGUCAGCCUGUUUCUUCAGUUAUCUAUUGCUUGUCGGUUAUCCCUGCUGAUAGCUGUACUCUUCAAUAUUGCUCUUGUUUACUACAGACAACCUCUAACAUUGCUCUCAUUAAGUGGCACCAUAGUAGGUUACAACAAGAGUGCUGUGAAUUCCUUUUGAAUAUUGACAAGCAGCCAACACUUGCUUAGGUUUGAAAAAUACUAAUUUGUCAUGCUGGUCCCACUUUAAAGUUGUAUGUACAUCCUUCUUCUACCAACUACAGGGACUUGAAAGUGGUUUAUGGACAGUUUCUACAGUAAGUCCAGUGUGUUGGCUGGCUUUCAAUAAGUAUAAGGCUGGUUCUAUCAAAAGUCAUGAACAUUCAAAAACACAUGGUAAAGAAGAAGAAGAGGAAGUAGAAGAUGAUAAAUCCUCC